GAUGAACGCUGGCGGCGUGCCUAAUACAUGCAAGUCGAGCGAACGGACGAUAAGCUUUCUUCCCUGAUGUUAGCGGCGGACGGGCGAGUAACACGUGGAUAACCUACUUAUAAGACUGGGAUAACAUCGGGAAACCGGAGCUAAUAACAGCUGAUAUUUUGAACCGCAUGGUUCAAAAGUGAAAGACGGUCUUGCUGUCACAUAUAGAUGGUUCCGCGCUGCAUUAGCUAGUUGGUAAGGUAACGGCUUACCAAGGCAACGAUGCAUAGCUGACCUGAGAGGGUGAUCAGCCACACUGGAACUGAGACACGGUCCAGACUCCUACGGGAGGCAGCAGUGGGGAAUCUUGCGCAAUGGGCGCAAGCCUGAUGCAGCAACGCCGCGUGAGUGAUGAAGGUCUUCGGAUCGUAAAACUCUGUUAUUAGGAAAGAACAUAUGUGUAAGUAACUGCGCACAUCUUGACGGUACCUAAUCAGAAAGCAACGGCUAACUUCGUG
RNAcentral lists this ribosomal RNA (497 nucleotides) under uncultured bacterium. Its description in RNAcentral is "partial 16S ribosomal RNA". It matches the Rfam family "Bacterial small subunit ribosomal RNA", at positions 28 to 507 of the family's 1533-position model. The record is from RNAcentral.